UGUUUUUCACUGAUUAGAUGGUUUUGUUUUAAACUCACUGCAACUAGAAACACUGGCCAUCAAAUAUCUCUCUAAAAAAAAAAAAUCAUGCCACCUUUCCUCUCCUAUUAUAUUUAUGAUUAAGUUACAUAUCACAAUAUCAUCCUUUCCUAAUUCAGUGCUUAAUUUUAAACUAUGAGCAAUUUGAUAUAGCUUGAUGUUUCAUAAUUAUCAAUCACUAUGAGUAUGCACAUAAAUCAUUUUUAACACCAUAAUGCAGAAGGACCAUCACCCCCACUCAUUGUCCUUUGGCUGCUUCUUUGUUUCUGCUUCAUUGUUACCCUUUAAUUAAUAAAUUAAUUAAUGAACCAAUGACUCGUGGGUGUGGGCGGUGCCUCCCACUGUGUGACUGAGCACACAUCGUUAAUCAGGGCCAUUCCCAUUAACCGGGUCAAGCAGGGUCAUGCUCAAACAAUUAAAGCUAGAUUAUGAGAUUUUCAUCAGCAAAUCCCACCUGAAGACAAGCCACGGCUCGGACCAAACCGGUCUCCGAAACCUCCAACAGGUGGAUGUGCUGGUGGAUUCGGAGUGUGAGGCUGACAAAGGAAAAGCUGCAGCAAGGGUUCAUGUGUAAUUACAGCACUCCUUCAGCUAACUGUAGGAAGGAUAGCUUAUAAAGCUGGCAAUGAGAGCUUAGUGCCGCUGACUCUGAAAAGAUGGUGAAGCUACAAGAUAAGAGGAAAAACAAGACCUAGAAGUCAAAAGUGAAAUGAAAAGAGAAGACCUCAUUUGAAUUUAUCUGCUUUCCAACAAAAGGAAGAACUGACCAAUGUGGGAAGCAUAAAUGUGUUUUUAAUUAAUUUACACAGAUUGGAUCUUACUUCAGUACAGAUGACACGGUGCAUUGAAACAUGCUGUAUGCAUAAGCAGUGUAGUGCUGCUCAGCACUGUUUAUCAAAAAGGCAUUUGUUAAACAAAAGAAAUAUUGAAUGAACUCUACUUACCUAUAAUAGGGGUUGAAAUAAGACAUCUGUCGGGCUUGAUGCAAGUUCCACAUGUAGUGAUAGAUACACUAAAAAAGGUGUAGAAACAAUUUUCAUUGAGAAAUUGCUAGUAAAUUUAAAAUUUCUUUACUAAGAAACAAUCCAACAAUUUAGCUCCCAAUUAACUUAUUAUUAUUUACAUUUAUGAUGACGUAAGCAUUUGACGAACAAUUUUAAUCCGAAGUGACGCAUUUAAGAUAUACAGUUUUGUCUCUCAUGGAUUCCCUGGGAAUCGAACCCAUGACCUUGGCGUAGCAUCACGGCCAAUUGUUUGAGCUACAGGAAUAUUUAAGCAUUUUAAAGCCACGAUGUGGGUUCUUUUCUGAGUAGAUUACCAUCAUUUGGAUGUAAAUAUGACCCUCUUCCUUAUGAAAAUAUUUUAAGUUUAUUCAGAUUUUUUUUUCCUUAAAAAAAAAAAAAACAUCUUAAUGUGUGCAGCAUAAAUAUAGUAAAGCUGUGGUCACGCUCCACUUUAAGUUACUUCAGACUCAACAGCACUGAAAACUCUUAGCCAAGAGAUCAGUCCAUUCGGUUACAUUUACAUCCUCUAUUGAUCAAACAUCUUUGUUCAAUCUGAAUUCACAGAUCUGA
Long non-coding RNA from Cyprinus carpio (common carp), 1613 nucleotides. Lineage: Eukaryota; Metazoa; Chordata; Actinopteri; Cypriniformes; Cyprinidae. The record is from Ensembl.